This 1594-nucleotide long non-coding RNA is filed under the name Citrus x clementina. RNAcentral describes it as "Citrus clementina (C. clementina) long non-coding RNA (CCLE_LNC003315)". Lineage: Eukaryota; Viridiplantae; Streptophyta; Magnoliopsida; Sapindales; Rutaceae. The record is from RNAcentral.
CAAGAAUUAAUUUUCAUCAUCAUCUUCCACCAUAUGUCGUGAGCAAUGGAGGCUUUCCCUCACCAUUACUAAUACAAAAAAGGUGUCGACCUGUGUCACUCCCCCAUCCAAGAAGUGAGCUAAAACUUAUGAAACUCCAAAGCAUUGUCUAAGCAUAGCGCACAAACUACUUCCAGCAUCUCCAUUGACAAAAUACUUGAAAAAAACAAGGCAUGAGCUAUUAGCCCACACACUUUUAAGCAUAAUGAUUCUCAUCACAUCUCAUUUAUCCAAGAGGCCAUGAAAACAUGCUCAAAGAUUCCAAAAGAAAAUUGACAUUUAAACACAUAAGAAUCAAUCUCAAGAAUCCAUUUAAGUUUGGAUUCAAGCCAAAACAAUGCCAAUCUCUGAUCUAUAAGACCAAACUUCAAAGUCUAUAAUUUCAACGAUCAAAUAACAAAUGAUGUACAAAUAAAAUUCAUGAAAAUCUGUAGAAACCUUUGGCGUUAUUUUAGACCACGUAAAAAGGACAGGCCUUGUUCAAUAAUCCCUUUAGAUUUUUAGGUUGGUUCAAUUACUAUACAAAUUUGUUGAUAUAAUCUAGACAUGUAAAGCACCUAGAAUACAACAUUUUAGCUCAAAUUAGUUACAUGUAUUACUAUUUCUAUGACCCAAUAUAGAGUUACAGAAAAUUGGUUUAUUGAGGGGAAACACCAACAACCUAAGCUUCUGAUUUUCUUUAAAAAUUCAAUACUACUUAGAAUAUUAUGAAAACUUCCAGAAUAUUAUUAGACACAUAAACGCACAACAUAUAAAAUUUUCAAGCCAUUUGGACAACUCUAUAAUAGGUUCUCACAGGAUUGAACUAAACAAAUCAAAAAUGCCUUUUCAAUUCACACAAAAACAGCUGAGCAUUGGUGAUUUAUUAAAAUUUAAACUGCUCAAUAUGUUGGGAUGAUAAUUCCCAGAACAUAAUUACACAUAUAACUCUCUGAUAUCAUUAAGCUAAUGUUUCAUAAGAUCAAACACAAGUGAACAGUUCUCUCAAGGGGUUUGCGGCUAAAGCUGUAGAGUUUAAUAUCUCAAAAUUUUGGCUCAUUUCGACGCCAUUAGAUUAUUCGUUUAUAACACCAAACAUGGUACAUACACAGUUUCUGAUAAAUUCCAACAGCAACUGACCAAUUUGAUGAAUCCAUUAUAAAUCAACUAUUAGUUCAAUUCAUUCCAAAAUGUCCAGACUCCAAAGAUACAAUACUCAAAAUUUCAAGCAAAUCAAGCAUCAUUUAGUCAUAUUUCGAAACAAUCAAAGUUAUGAUAACAGUCCACCAAUCUUUAAAUUUUCUGCAGAACCAAUAAACUAUUUAUCUUCUUUUGAGUUCAAUAAUCAAUUUUCUAACAAAAUUAGACAUGUAAAACCAAUAACAACCUCACUUUUCAGUUUUGAAAUAACAAAACAUCAAUUGCACAAAGUUACCUACCUAAAUCACAAGCUUUAACUCCCAAGCCUCUUAAUAAAGCUUUCUGUCCCUUCGCAAGUGUAACCCUGACAUUACCAAAAAGGCUACCCAAAAUCAAAUAAAAAAUAAAAAAAAGAUAAUCAAUCACACUUCCAUGA